AACGAACGCUGGCGGCAUGCCUAACACAUGCAAGUCGAACGAGACCUUCGGGUCUAUUGUCGCACGGGUGCGUAACGCGAGGGAACCUGCCCUUAGGUUUGGCAUAACUCCCCGUAAGGGAUACCAGUACGGGAUAAUGUCUUAUGACCGAAGCUUUAUCGCCGUUGGAUGGGCGCGGGUGGGAUUAGCUAGUUGGUAGGGUAAAAGCCUACGAAGGCGACGAUCCAUAGCUGGUGUGAGUGGAUGAUCAGCCACACGGGGACUGAGACACGGCGCAGACUCCUACGGGAGGCAGCAGUGGGGAACAUGGGACAAUGGGCGAAAGCGUGAGCCAGCAAUGUCGCGUGAGUGAUGAAGGCCUGAGGGUUGUAAAGCUCUUUUACCCGGGAUGAUAAUGACAGUACCGGGAUAAUAAGCGCCGGCUAACUCCGUG
This 433-nucleotide ribosomal RNA is filed under the name uncultured bacterium. Its description in RNAcentral is "partial 16S ribosomal RNA". It matches the Rfam family "Bacterial small subunit ribosomal RNA", at positions 29 to 507 of the family's 1533-position model. The record is from RNAcentral.